GACGAACGCUGGCGGCGUGCCUAAUACAUGCAAGUAGAACGCUGAAGAGAGGAGCUUACUCUUCUUGGAUGAGUUGCGAACGGGUGAGUAACGCGUAGGUAACCUGCCUUGUAGCGGGGGAUAACUAUUGGAAACGAUAGCUAAUACCGCAUAACAAUGGAUGACACAUGUCAUUUAUUUGAAAGGGGCAAUUGCUCCACUACAAGAUGGACCUGCGUUGUAUUAGCUAGUAGGUGAGGUAAUGGCUCACCUAGGCGACGAUACAUAGCCGACCUGAGAGGGUGAUCGGCCACACUGGGACGGAGACACGGCCCAGACUCCUACGGGAGGCAGCAGUAGGGAAUCUGCGGCAAUGGGGGCAACCCUGACCGAGCAACGCCGCGUGAGUGAAGAAGGUUUUCGGAUCGUAAAGCUCUGUUGUAAGUCAAGAACGGGUGUGAGAGUGGAAAGUUCACACUGUGACGGUAGCUUACCAGAAAGGGACGGCUAACUACGUG
Molecule: ribosomal RNA, 497 nt
Filed under: uncultured bacterium
Lineage: Bacteria
Description: partial 16S ribosomal RNA
Rfam family: Bacterial small subunit ribosomal RNA
Source: RNAcentral